AGCGAACGCUGGCGGUAGGCCUAACACAUGCAAGUCGAACGGCAGCACAGUAAGAGUUUGCUCUUAUGGGUGGCGAGUGGCGGAAGGGAGAGGAAUAUAACGGAAUCUACACUUUCGUGGGGGAUAACGUAGGGAAACCUAAGAUAAUAUAGCAUACGACGUACGGGUGAAAGCAGGGGAAAGUUGGACCUUGUGCGAUUGAACGAGCGGAUGACGGAUUAGCUAGUUGGCGGGGUGAAGGCCCACCAAGGCGACGAUCCGUAGCUGGUCUGAGAGGAUGAUCAGCCACACUGGAACUGAGACACGGUCCAGACUCCUACGGGAGGCAGCAGUGGGGAAUAUUGGACAAUGGGCGCAAGCCUGAUCCAGCCAUACCGCGUGGGUGAAGAAGGCCUUCGGGUUGUAAAGCCCUUUUGUUGGGAAAGAAAAGCAGCAGGUUAAUACCCCGCUGUUCUGACGGUACCCAAAGAAUAAGCACCGGCUAACUUCGUG
RNAcentral lists this ribosomal RNA (492 nucleotides) under uncultured bacterium. RNAcentral's name for it is "partial 16S ribosomal RNA". It matches the Rfam family "Bacterial small subunit ribosomal RNA", at positions 29 to 507 of the family's 1533-position model. The record is from RNAcentral.